RNAcentral lists this ribosomal RNA (498 nucleotides) under uncultured bacterium. Its description in RNAcentral is "partial 16S ribosomal RNA". It matches the Rfam family "Bacterial small subunit ribosomal RNA", at positions 28 to 507 of the family's 1533-position model. The record is from RNAcentral.
GACGAACGCUGGCGGCGUGCCUAAUACAUGCAAGUCGAGCGGACGGAUGGGAGCUUGCUCUCAGACCGUCGGCGGCGGACGGGUGAGUAACAAGUGGGCAACCUGCCUGUAAGACUGGGAUAACUCCAGGAAACCGGGGUUCAGAACGGAUAACUCUUUCCCUCACAUGGGGGCAUGGUGCCAGACGGCAUCUCGCUAUCAUUUACCGAUGGGGCGGGGGGGUAUUGGCUAGUUGGUGAGGUAACGGCUUACCAAGGCGACGAUGCGUAGCCGUCCCGAGAGGGUGAUCGGUCACACUGGGACUGAGACACGGCCCAGACUCCUACGGGAGGCAGCAGUAGGGAAUCUUCCGCAAUGGGCGAAAGUCUGACGCAGCAACGCCGCGUGUGUGAUGAAGGUCUUCGGAUCGUAAAGCUCUGUGGUCAGGGAAGAACAAGUACCAGAGUAACUGCCGCUACCUUGACGUUACCUAACCAGAAAGCCACGGCUAACUACGUG